Molecule: non-coding RNA, 237 nt
Organism: Paramuricea clavata
Lineage: Eukaryota; Metazoa; Cnidaria; Anthozoa; Malacalcyonacea; Plexauridae
Source: the annotation of a GenBank genome assembly
UGGACUUUGGACUUUCGAUUUUGAAAUUAUAUUGUUUUUUUAGAUUUUCGUAUAAUUAUAUUAAAAUCUAAACAGAGAACGAAAAUUUGCUGCUGAUAAGCGUGCUACACUGCAUGCACAUGCAUGAUAUAAUAAUAUACAAGGUAAAAAAUCUCUAGUAUCAGUUAUAUAGGUAUACCAGCAGUGCAAUUUCAUACGGAUAUAGCCUGUAGGAUAGCAGGAUUGUCCAAUAUUUUG